ACACCAAGCCAAGUCAAACUAAACUUGUUGAACAGAACAAAGAAGAAAGAUCGGGGGUCAAAGUGUAAAUUCUGGAAAUCAGGAAGUUAGUUAUUAACACUUCCUAAAGUUAGUUAAGGAGGCAGUUAGGUUCACAGAUUAGUGAACUGAUUAUAGGUUAGAUUAGAGGGAUUAGUUAAGAAGAUAAAAUCCUCUCUUUAAAACUACCUUCUUCCUUCUAUUCUUGUGUUCUUCAAUAUUGAAUAUUAUUCUUCUCUUCAUUCUUCCUAAAUCACAAACUUCUUCAUGGUAUCAGAGCAGUGAGUAAUAACUCAAGUAUAUCCUCAAGAAUAUUGUGUAUAUCAAGUUUUUCAAAUUGGUUAACUCAAUAUGACUGGUGUGAAUGGAAUUAGUUCAACACCCGAACAAGUUAAUGGAAUCCCUCGAACUGAAAAUGUGAACAAC
Molecule: long non-coding RNA, 444 nt
Organism: Lycium ferocissimum
Lineage: Eukaryota; Viridiplantae; Streptophyta; Magnoliopsida; Solanales; Solanaceae
Exons: 3
Source: RefSeq, a predicted model, not a curated record